This is a long non-coding RNA of Patella vulgata (common limpet), 1248 nucleotides long. RefSeq lists it as uncharacterized. The record is from RefSeq and is a predicted model, not a curated record. Lineage: Eukaryota; Metazoa; Mollusca; Gastropoda; Patellidae. The transcript is spliced from 4 exons.
AAUCGAAUGCACGGAACGAUAGAGAUAUCUAGUUUAAAUUACAUUAGCCAUUAACAAUUAGCCAUUAAGUAAUCGAACCGGGUUGUAUACCAGCUUUGUUAUUAGCUCUUUUUGUCAAAUCUACAAAACUAUAUUCUUCCUAGUUGGCUUGUUUGCUGUUCAUUAUAUAAUACUGUAAGCUUAAGAUGGCAAGAAGUGGAAGGAUAAUAUUAUCAAUCUUCGUAUUAUCAAUAUUAAUUGUAAUACAAGAAAUGCCCACUCUGAUUGAAGCCAGUUCUUCAACAACUAUAUCUACCGAAGAAACAACUUCUGGUGAUGAUAUGAUCUUUAGUUCUAUCGAUAGUUCAACAGAAGUUACCACCACUUUGAACAAAAAUACAAGCCCGCCAGUUGGUGGAUUGGUGGGUGUCGUAGCCGUUGUAGGUUGUGCUGUUCUUGGUGUGUGUCUUUGGAACUUGUAAAUGUUUCAACCCUUGUUAAAAGAGAAACCCAGACCAGCCGCUUCCGUUUGCCUUUAGUUUCCUAAUUACAUAUUUACUAUGUUUAAAAUCUAUUUGAUUUGUGUUUCUUGUUGUCAGUAUCUGAAACUAUUGUAAUGCAAUCUGAAUACAAAUAUAAACAAAUGACAACAGCUGUCCAUUUUAGUACUUUAAUUAUUUUAUAUAUAUAUAGAACCCCGAACCUACCAACAUCCCCCGACCAGGCUUAUGAAAGUCUGACUUCAUCAAUGUCAGCAUCUUAUGAGAAUAUUGCUGCAAGUCAAACAGUCCCAGAGCAUAGCAACGAAGGUCUAGCCUUGAUAUUGGAUAAAGAAAAUGUCUAAAUAUUUUACUAAUUAACCCUAUGACUUCAUUCUGUAAAUUUCAAAUAAUAUACUUUUAUGGUUUCAUUAGUGGAUUUAGAAGUAACUAGGUACGGUAUUUGGAAUAUAAUAAUCUGGUUUAUAUAGUAUCAUUUUAUGACACCGUUAUAUGAUGUUGAUUCUAUGCGGCAAUAUUAUUUUUAAAAUGGCUGACACCCGUACAAAUUCUUUAAUGCAGUAUUUCUUUUAUUUAUUUUUAUUAAAAGUACUAUAUAAUUUAACAGUGUACAGUUGUUUGAUGUAAUAUUUCUUUUAUUUUGUAUUACGAUUAUAAUCCUAACAAUGUUACAAUUGUUUAAUGUAGUAUUUCUUUUAUUUUAAAUUACGAGAUUAUUAUUUGUCUUUCGCUUAUGGUUUAUUAUAAGUACUGUAUACUCCUAACAGUG